GGCCAGGUAGCUCAGUCGGUAGAGCAGCGGACUGAAAAUCCGCGUGUCGUUGGUUCGAUUCCGACCCUGGCCACCA
RNAcentral lists this transfer RNA (76 nucleotides) under Zetaproteobacteria bacterium CG2_30_59_37. RNAcentral's name for it is "tRNA-Phe". It matches the Rfam family "tRNA". From Rfam's summary of the family: Transfer RNA (tRNA) molecules are approximately 80 nucleotides in length. Their secondary structure includes four short double-helical elements and three loops (D, anti-codon, and T loops). Further hydrogen bonds mediate the characteristic L-shaped molecular structure. tRNAs have two regions of fundamental functional importance: the anti-codon, which is responsible for specific mRNA codon recognition, and the 3' end, to which the tRNAs corresponding amino acid is attached (by aminoacyl-tRNA synthetases). tRNAs cope with the degeneracy of the genetic code in two manners: having more than one tRNA (with a specific anti-codon) for a particular amino acid; and 'wobble' base-pairing, i.e. permitting non-standard base-pairing at the 3rd anti-codon position. RNAcentral also lists the same sequence under 6 other names. The record is from RNAcentral. Lineage: Bacteria; Pseudomonadati; Pseudomonadota; Candidatius Mariprofundia.